RNAcentral lists this transfer RNA (71 nucleotides) under Callitettix biformis. RNAcentral describes it as "tRNA-Tyr". It matches the Rfam family "tRNA". From Rfam's summary of the family: Transfer RNA (tRNA) molecules are approximately 80 nucleotides in length. Their secondary structure includes four short double-helical elements and three loops (D, anti-codon, and T loops). The record is from RNAcentral. Lineage: Eukaryota; Metazoa; Arthropoda; Insecta; Hemiptera; Cercopidae.
UUGUUAAAGUGGCUGAAAUAGCAAUAAAUUGUAAAUUUAUUUAUGUAGAUAAAUUAGUUCUUCUUUUAACA